RNAcentral lists this ribosomal RNA (496 nucleotides) under uncultured bacterium. RNAcentral describes it as "partial 16S ribosomal RNA". It matches the Rfam family "Bacterial small subunit ribosomal RNA", at positions 28 to 506 of the family's 1533-position model. The record is from RNAcentral.
GAUGAACGCUGGCGGCGUGCCUAAUACAUGCCAGUCGAGCGAACGGACGAGAAGCUUGCUUCUCUGAUGUUAGCGGCGGACGGGUGAGUAACACGUGGAUAACCUACCUAUAAGACUGGGAUAACUUCGGGAAACCGGAGCUAAUACCGGAUAAUAUUUUGAACCGCAUGGUUCAAAAGUGAAAGACGGUCUUGCUGUCACUUAUAGAUGGAUCCGCGCUGCAUUAGCUAGUUGGUAAGGCAACGGCUUACCAAGGCAACGAUGCAUAGCCGACCUGAGAGGGUGAUCGGCCACACUGGAACUGAGACACGGUCCAGACUCCUACGGGAGGCAGCAGUAGGGAAUCUUCCGCAAUGGGCGAAAGCCUGACGGAGCAACGCCGCGUGAGUGAUGAAGGUCUUCGGAUCGUAAAACUCUGUUAUUAGGGAAGAACAUAUGUGUAAGUAACUGUGCACAUCUUGACGGUACCUAAUCAGAAAGCCACGGCUAACUACGU